CCUGUCGGUGUAACUGGCAUGUCGCGGCAUGUCCUGUCGGUGGUGAACGGGAUCCCCGGUGCUGUUAAGACCUCCCGGUCGAAGCAUGUGCCGUGUGUGUUUCCGUUUGCCGAUCUCUCCUACUCCGGUGCUCUUAAACGAGUGUCGAGGUAGGCCGACACGUUCACUUUGAACAAAUUAGAGUGCUUAAAGCAGGCUGAAAUAUCUGCCUGAAUAGUGGUGCAUGGAAUGAUAAAACAGGACCUCGGUUCUAUUUUGUUGGUUUUAGGAAUAUGAGGUAAUGAUCAAUGUGGACUGGCGGGGGCAUUCGUAUUGCGACGUUAGAGGUGAAAUUCUUGGAUCGUCGCAAGACGCACUAGAGCGAAAGCAUUUGCCAAGUAUGUCUUAAUUGAUCAAGAACGAAAGUUAGAGGUUCGAAGGCGAUCAGAUACCGCCCUAGUUCUAACCAUAAACGAUGCCAGCCAGCGAU
Molecule: ribosomal RNA, 469 nt
Filed under: Pachysandalus collaris
Lineage: Eukaryota; Metazoa; Arthropoda; Insecta; Hemiptera; Reduviidae
Description: SSU rRNA
Rfam family: Eukaryotic small subunit ribosomal RNA
Source: RNAcentral